AAGAAUUUAUUGGGUUAUGUUGAUCAGGAGGUUUGAACUGAACUUUGUUUAUUUUGUAUUUGAUACAAUCGAAAUAAGUUGAGGCUCAAGAUCUUCAUAUCAAAUAUAAGUUUGGAAUCUUUUUCAUUU
RNAcentral lists this small RNA (129 nucleotides) under Cryptosporidium parvum. Lineage: Eukaryota; Apicomplexa; Conoidasida; Eucoccidiorida; Cryptosporidiidae. The record is from RNAcentral.